RNAcentral lists this transfer RNA (74 nucleotides) under Clostridium sp. AF22-10. RNAcentral's name for it is "tRNA-Ile". It matches the Rfam family "tRNA". Rfam says of the family: Transfer RNA (tRNA) molecules are approximately 80 nucleotides in length. Their secondary structure includes four short double-helical elements and three loops (D, anti-codon, and T loops). RNAcentral also lists the same sequence under 4 other names. Lineage: Bacteria; Bacillati; Bacillota; Clostridia; Eubacteriales; Clostridiaceae. The record is from RNAcentral.
GGACCAUUAGCUCAGACGGUUAGAGCGGCGGCCUUAUAAGCCGUGUGUCCGGGGUUCAAUUCCCUGAUGGUCCA